RNA transcript from Solenopsis invicta (red fire ant), 1939 nucleotides. RefSeq lists it as uncharacterized. Lineage: Eukaryota; Metazoa; Arthropoda; Insecta; Hymenoptera; Formicidae. The record is from RefSeq and is a predicted model, not a curated record. The transcript is spliced from 5 exons.
GCAAUUCUAUUUUAUUAUAAAAAAAAUUUUUUUCUUCAAUUUGGAAAUGUAUUGUAAGAUACCAAAGCAUUUUUUUCUCAUUUAAAAUACUCUAUAAUAAUUUUAUCUCAAUAUAGAAUCAAUACACUUGUGUAUGACGGAAUACAUAUUCACGUGAAGUCUUACUCAUCCACGUAGAAUUGUAUAAUACCAUACGCAAGAGAGAAACGCUUAGCGGAUAAAUCUAUCCCGGUAAAUCACAACGGAUGUAAUCCACUACGUUUAUAAUUCAUGGAAAGACAACGUGCAGUAUCACAUGAGAAAACCUUGAACCCCUUCACGGAAGUUAGACUAGUUGAAGUCGUGAAUACAAAGUUUUUUCCCCCUUCGUAUCCUGACGAUCGCUUGUUCGAUUCUUAGAAAGGAAGUCGCGCGGAAUAGCGCAGUCGCAUUUAACCAUCCGCGAUCAAGCUCUCGCGCAGUCUUGUCAGUAACCAUAGAGCUCUCGUCAGUUCAAUGAUAAGUAGAACUACCAUGGAAAGAGCGAACCCUAUCGCGAGUGUCUAUGAUCCCAAGAAAGGCACGCAGUUAAGUAUCGAGUUGAAUCGCUGGAUAUUGAAGCCAAUCGGUGUCUGGCCCAAAUCAGUUCAUCUCUCAUGGAUGGGAAAAUUCGUGUACCUUCUGAUAAACGUAAUUUGUAUCACUUUCGUCUGCUUCCUCUUACUACCUGCUGCCAUCAACGUAGAACUUGACAAAGAAGAAUUUACGUAUCGUAUGCUAAGACUCUCUUCGAUUCGGGGUUUCUCCAUAAUGACCAUUAUAAAGUAUUUAUCGUUGAUAUUCCGUGAGAACGAUAUCCGCAAUGGUAUUCAACAUAUCGAGAUCGACUGGAUGAAUACUCAGCGUUAUGAAGAUCGAAUCAUCAUGAUCAAGAAUGCGAAAUUCGGCCGGCGCAUCGUGACAAUCGUCGCGUUCGUGACGUACGGCAGCGCCUUUUUCUAUUAUAUAGCUUUACCGUUAAAUUCCAUCAUGAUGACGAAAAACGAUGAAAACUUGACGUUUCAGCUACAAAUGAAUCCGGCUGCCACGGAAACCAUCGACAAAAAAUACAAUUUUAAUGAUAUUUUUUUCUUCUGGAUGCAGCUUGUGUCGGGUUUCAUCGCACACUCCGUCUAUGCCGGUACACUCAGCUUAGCUGCCGUAUUUGCAGUGCACGCAUACAGUCGCCUAGAAGUUUUAAUGCAGUGGAUCCAACAUCUCGUGGAUGGACGGGAAGAUUUAUGUGAUAACGUGGAUGAGAGAUUGAUGACGAUCGUGCAACAGCACGUUCGAAUCAUACGUUUUAUAUCACUAACAGACAAGGUACUGCGCGAAAUAUCUUUCUUGGAUAUAACAUGCUCAACAUUAAUUAUGAUUCUUCUUGGAUAUUUUUGUAUCAAGGAAUGGGAGACUAGAGAAAUUACAAAUUACCUAACAUUUAUUGUUCUGCUUAUGUGUAUGACGUUCAAUAUUUUUGUACUCUGUUACAUUGGCGACAUUGUUACAGACAGGAAAGUAGCUCCUAGCAGCGUAUAUAAGUCUAGAUAUGUUUUAAAUAAAAGAAAUGAGAAAAGCAAUCCUCUAAACAGUGCAAGAAAAUCGGAGAGGUGUCGUAUAUGACUGAUUGGUAUCGUCUGCCAGAAAGAAAAAAUCUUGCCCUCGUGUUGAUGAUCGCUAUGUCCAAUGCAUCAAUCAAACUUACUGCCGGAAUCUUCGAAUUGUCUCUUAGUACUUUUGGCGAGGUGAUUAAAGUAUCCCUUGCCUACUUGAACGUGUUGCGUACAGUAAUGACAUAAAACUUGUUCGAUGUAGAAAUUAUUAAUGCAUCUAUUGGUUGCAAAUAAGUGUCAAUUAAAUAAUCAAUAUGUAUAGAAAUAUAGUAAUGAAUAUUAUAAGGAAUAGAAAAUUGUAUUUAUUAAAA